Leptinotarsa decemlineata (Colorado potato beetle) is the source of this 322-nucleotide long non-coding RNA. RefSeq lists it as uncharacterized. The record is from RefSeq and is a predicted model, not a curated record. Lineage: Eukaryota; Metazoa; Arthropoda; Insecta; Coleoptera; Chrysomelidae.
AAAACAUGUCUACACUCUUGUGCAAUUUUUAUGAAGAAAAAUCAAAUUUCGAGUGAUUUCUUAAAAAUUUUGCUGAGGUACGGUGCUUGAUUAUGUAGGGUGAUGGUUUCUCAGUACAAACGAAAAACAAGUCAAAAUGAUGGACAGAGGUCGAUCUAAAACGGGCCAUGGAUGCUAUCAUCCAGAUAAAUGAGUCUACCACGCAUCAGAAGCAAAAAGAUAUAAUAUAUGAAAUCUGAAAUAUGUUAAAAGAAGUUAGAAAGGUUCACUUAGAUAUGUUCUCACCAAAAAUCAAGAAAAUCAGUUAUGUAACUACCUGAAA